This 253-nucleotide ribosomal RNA is filed under the name uncultured Acidobacteriota bacterium. RNAcentral's name for it is "uncultured Acidobacteria bacterium partial 16S ribosomal RNA". It matches the Rfam family "Bacterial small subunit ribosomal RNA", at positions 524 to 776 of the family's 1533-position model. Lineage: Bacteria; Pseudomonadati; Acidobacteriota. The record is from RNAcentral.
UACAGAGGUGGCAAGCGUUGUUCGGAAUUACUGGGCGUAAAGGGCGCGUAGGCGGUUUUGUAAGUCCUGUGUGAAAUCCCUCGGCUCAACUGAGGAACUGCACAGGGGACUGCAAGGCUUGAGUUCGGGAGAGGGAAGUGGAAUUCCGGGUGUAGCGGUGAAAUGCGUAGAUAUCCGGAGGAACACCGGUGGCGAAGGCGGCUUCCUGGACCGACACUGACGCUGAUGCGCGAAAGCUAGGGGAGCAAACGGG